ACACACAUAUGCCGUAAAAAAAUAAUAAGAACACAGUACCUUUUCAACUGUGCGUGUUUGGUCCACACUUCUCAACUCUUGCUAGCUCACUCUUUUUAAUUCUGCUUUUUUAAUUCUGUUUUUUUAAUUUUGCUUUUUUAAUUUUGCUUUUUUAAUUUUGCUUUUUUUAAUUCUACUUUUUUAACUCUACUUUUUUAAUUCUAUUUUUUUUUACUUUUAUUUUUUUUUUUUUUUUUUUACAGAGUGGAGCCGCCCUAAUAAUUAUAUUGUUAGUAAAAAUAAUUCCUUAUCUUAAGGAGCUAGAUAGGUUUGCUUGUUUGUUUGCUUUUUUUUUUUUUUUUUUUUUUUUUUUUUUUAUUACGCAUUCGCUCUUUCAUAUAUUUGUAUAUUUUAUUUAUCAUAUUAUAUUUGAAGCAGAAAAAAAAGAAUACAUAAACGUGACCACUUAUUUUAAUAUAAUGCUUUUUUAAUAACAUUUUUAUCAUUUGUAAUUAUCACGUAAACAAAAAUGGGUUAUAUAUAUGUAUAUAUAUAUAUAUACAUGCAUGUGUUUUUCCCUCUUUUCAGAAACCUGAUAGUUUGCUUUCUCUAUUCAGUAUUACAUAGCGUAUUUUACAUUCUAUGUAAUAUUUUUGUUUAUUUUAUGAAAAAAGUGAACAAGGAGAAUAAAAAACAAGAGUCACCAUGCACGUAUUCAAAAAUCUUAACAUUAAUGAAUAAUGAAAUUGAUUUUUAUAAAAUUGUUUAUAAAAGUGUUUGUAGUUAUUCACAUGAGAACAAAUUUUUUGAGGAAGAAAUUUCAUAUAUGUUACAAGAUUUAGAAAAAGAAGAAAUGGUAAAAAUUAUAAAGAGCUACAUGGAAAAAUAAAAAGGGCGUUUUGUGUAUAUGUAGUAUAAAAUCGGACUUGCAGCUUACGGUUUCAUUAGUUUCCUACCUCCACAUAACGUGUACAUACUAUAUAUUUAUUUAUUUAUUCAUUUAUUCAUUUAUUCAUUUAUUCAUUUAUUCAUUUAUUUAUUUAUUUAUUUAUUUAUUUAUUGUUUUUGUUAUUUUUUUUUAUAACUUACAUAUUUGUAACACUAAAAAUUUUAGAACUGAUUUAUUAAUUUUUUUUUUUUAAAAAAAAAAAAAUCACCUUAUUGUUUACACACAUGAGUUUUGUCAAAAUUUAAAUAUAAAUUAAUUGUUUGUAUAGGUGUGUGUAUAUAUGUAUGUACCCAUGUGUGUGUGUGUCCAUAUAUACACGUAUUUAUUUAUUUA
Molecule: long non-coding RNA, 1261 nt
Filed under: Piliocolobus tephrosceles (Ugandan red Colobus)
Lineage: Eukaryota; Metazoa; Chordata; Mammalia; Primates; Cercopithecidae
Description: lncRNA (ENSPTEG00000009281.1)
Source: RNAcentral